CUGAGCAUGUAUAAAGUCUCACUGGGGCUACAAGGGGCAAUGUCGUGUAAGCAAUGGAAGCAACAGGCCUGAUCAUCUUGCUGCUCCUCACUGUUUCUCAGGGUAUGUUGCCUGAGCAGGCGGUAGCGUUUAGAACACUCAAGCAAGUCUGUCCACAAGUGUGCACAUACACUUCUGUUGUGUGUAAUGGCGUGUGUAGGGAUAGAGUCUGCUAUAGCGACUGCAACUUACCAGCAAAUUGCACUGGAUAUAGGGGUGCUUGCUCCUGAUAUGGAGCACAAUCUAUAAUAAUCCCCAAGGUGAAGGAUGUUGUGUUUGUAUUUUGAUCAUGAAUUUACUCCGAGAAAAAUGCAUACCUCUA
Molecule: long non-coding RNA, 361 nt
Organism: Selaginella moellendorffii
Lineage: Eukaryota; Viridiplantae; Streptophyta; Lycopodiopsida; Selaginellales; Selaginellaceae
Exons: 3
Source: RefSeq, a predicted model, not a curated record